Molecule: ribosomal RNA, 215 nt
Filed under: uncultured bacterium
Lineage: Bacteria
Description: partial 16S ribosomal RNA
Rfam family: Bacterial small subunit ribosomal RNA
Source: RNAcentral
ACCUCAGUUCGGAUUGAAGGCUGAAAUUCGCCUUCAUGAAGUCGGAAUUGCUAGUAAUGGCAGGUCAGCAUACUGCCGUGAAUACGUUCCCGGGCCUUGUACACACCGCCCGUCACACCAUGAGAGUUGGAGAUACCCGAAGCCCAUGAGCUAACUUUUAGAGGCAGUAGUCGAAGGUAGAAUCAAUGAUUGGGGUGAAGUCGUAACAAGGUAUC